UAACGCGUAGGUAACCUGCCUUGUAGCGGGGGAUAACUAUUGGAAACGAUAGCUAAUACCGCAUAACAAUGAAUGACACAUGUCAUUUAUUUGAAAGGGGCAAUUGCUCCACUACAAGAUGGACCUGCGUUGUAUUAGCUAGUAGGUGAGGUAACGGCUCACCUAGGCGACGAUACAUAGCCGACCUGAGAGGGUGAUCGGCCACACUGGGACUGAGACACGGCCCAGACUCCUACGGGAGGCAGCAGUAGGGAAUCUUCGGCAAUGGGGGCAACCCUGACCGAGCAACGCCGCGUGAGUGAAGAAGGUUUUCGGAUCGUAAAGCUCUGUUGUAAGUCAAGAACGAGUGUGAGAGUGGAAAGUUCACACUGUGACGGUAGCUUACCAGAAAGGGACGGCUAACUACGUGCCAGCAGCCGCGGUAAUACGUAGGUCCCGAGCGUUGUCCGGAUUUAUUGGGCGUAAAGCGAGCGCAGGCGGUUUGAUAAGUCUGAAGUUAAAGGCUGUGGCUCAACCAUAGUUCGCUUUGGAAACUGUCAAACUUGAGUGCAGAAGGGGAGAGUGGAAUUCCAUGUGUAGCGGUGAAAUGCGUAGAUAUAUGGAGGAACACCGGUGGCGAAAGCGGCUCUCUGGUCUGUAACUGACGCUGAGGCUCGAAAGCGUGGGGAGCGAACAGGAUUAGAUACCCUGGUAGUCCACGCCGUAAACGAUGAGUGCUAGGUGU
RNAcentral lists this ribosomal RNA (724 nucleotides) under uncultured bacterium. RNAcentral describes it as "bacterial SSU rRNA". It matches the Rfam family "Bacterial small subunit ribosomal RNA", at positions 111 to 823 of the family's 1533-position model. The record is from RNAcentral.